RNAcentral lists this ribosomal RNA (686 nucleotides) under Echeneibothrium sp. 1 JB-2019. RNAcentral describes it as "partial 28S ribosomal RNA". The record is from RNAcentral. Lineage: Eukaryota; Metazoa; Platyhelminthes; Cestoda; Rhinebothriidea; Echeneibothriidae.
ACCGCAUGCAGGUAAACGGGUGGCGUCAAGCUGCAAGCCCAGAGGAUUCAGUCGGCUAGAGUGUAGUGAAUGCGCCUGCGCAUCGAAUGGCCAGUGUAGGAUUGGAUAGUCUACUGGAAGACAGUGGGCCCUACCGUAAGGUAGGGAUGUGCGUACCGGGCGUCGGCCGGAACACGCUAUCCGUCUAUUGGGCUGCCUAGCCGGUGCACUUUCUCUGUGGUGAACACCACGACCGGUGGAACUGCCAGUCUGUCAGUGUCAAGUCGUAGUGGGCGGGCUUUCGGGUCUGCCUGCUGUGAUCACGGGCGUACUCGGUGAACGGCGUUGGUGCAUCUUUACGGUGUGUCAACGUGUUAUCGGCUACUGGUCGCUUUAUCGGGCCUGCCUGAUGCAUGUCUUAACCGUGUGUUGGGUGGUCUGGUGGACUUUGAUGGUAAUAAUAACUGUGCAGGGCACCGGAGUUUUCGGCCUCAAAUGCAGUCUGCAUGCAUGUUAUGAGUGUAUUGUGUUUGUGGGUGUCGUCGCGGGCUGGCUGUUGUUGGAUUUGAUUGUCGUGUUGCCUACGAAAAGUGGGCCCGGCAGUAGUUCGAUGCAGGUUGGUCUCGUUGGCGGUGCUUGCGAUGUAGACUGUGGUGGGCCAGAUAGUCUGUGGUGUAGUGGUAGACGAGCUACCCGACCCGUCUUGA